UACGUAGGGAGCAAGCGUUGUUCGGAUUUACUGGGCGUAAAGGGCGCGUAGGCGGCGCGGUAAGUCACUUGUGAAAUCUCUGAGCUUAACUCAGAACGGCCAAGUGAUACUGCAGUGCUAGAGUGCAGAAGGGGCAAUCGGAAUUCUUGGUGUAGCGGUGAAAUGCGUAGAUAUCGAGAGGAACACCUGCGGCGAAGGCGGGUUGCUGGGCUGACACUGACGCUGAAGCGCGAAAGCUAGGGGAGCGAACGGG
RNAcentral lists this ribosomal RNA (253 nucleotides) under uncultured bacterium. Its description in RNAcentral is "partial 16S ribosomal RNA". It matches the Rfam family "Bacterial small subunit ribosomal RNA", at positions 524 to 776 of the family's 1533-position model. The record is from RNAcentral.